This is a long non-coding RNA of Neopsephotus bourkii (Bourke's parrot), 4913 nucleotides long. RefSeq lists it as uncharacterized. The record is from RefSeq and is a predicted model, not a curated record. NCBI's taxonomy places the organism in Eukaryota, Metazoa, Chordata, Aves, Psittaciformes, Psittacidae. The transcript is spliced from 2 exons.
GCUAAGCUCCUGUUUUGGUUGUAGGAUGAAUGGGAGAGAAGGGGAGCUGUGGGAUCUUGGGAGUGGGAGCAUUUGUAAGCUUCCAGGCUGGCCAGGGCUCGAUUUCAUCUCUUUGUACCUAUUUCUGCUGUUGUUUUAGGAUCCAGCAGGUGCUCAGGAAAUGUUCAUCCCCUUUCCUGGGGGAAAGGCGGGCAGCAAUGGAGUUUGGAGCUGGAAAUAACGUGACGUUCAGCCAUGUCCUCCCUCCUUCCCAUAGCAAGUAAGGUCACUGCUCAGAGGCAGAUAGGUUUGUUAUGAACCAGGUCCUCACCUGCCAAGCCUAGGGUCAGAUUUGAGGGUUAAUGACCAACCUGGCUGGCUUAGAGGGACGUGCAGCAGAGCUGCUCACUGUGUGCUGGAGCACGCGUUGGGUGCUGGUGAAAGACAGCAAAGAGCGUGUUCAAAUGACAUGUGCCUCUGGCUUCAGGCUGUGCUUCUCGUUUCCUGUUACAAGUACAGCUCCGAGCUCUGGCAUGGGACAGGAACUGAAACACUGUCUGUGCCUGAAAACAACACCUCUCCAACAAGAUUUACUGGGAGCCCUGAUCUUCCUCCCAGGCUGAGCGGAUGGAGAGUCCAUCUCUUCUUCCUGUGGCUUCCUACUGAGGUGAUAAUGGGACAGACUUCUGAUAAAUACGGGUGGGUUUGCUAUGUCUAAAUAUUGCUGCACGCGAACAAUGCAACUAUCGAGUCUUUUUUGGCAGUGGAGCACUUCCUCCCACAAGUGAUGUUAAAGCAGAGAUGUAAACAACAUGCACAUAGUGAUACAUCCCAUCACUCUCUGCUCACAAGGAAGGUCUCUGAGGCCCAUCCGUUUUCUGAUAAAGCUAUCUGUAAUGGAUGGGUUUGAUCCCAAGACAAGGCAGCUCGCUCGUGACACGGCUCUGCUGUCAUUCCAGAUGGAUUUGUUCUAAUCCGGUGGUUCUCAGGCUGUUUCAUCAGGAAAGUCCCUUUUCCCAUCUGGAGGCUGUCUCCUUCCCACCCACGUUCUGCAUGAGGAGAGCAGGAGCACUGCUCCUGUGACAUCUCCUUGGGGCUAUGGAUCUGCAGACAAGGGUGGCUGUUCUGUUCCUGGCUUUCAUCCACAAAUUCUCCUUUUAAGGGCCCCGAGCAAGCUGGCCAGCUGCUGUCAGGAUAAAAGACUUCCACUGUGAGCCUGCACUCAGCCUUGAAACCAGCGGAGACAGUGAGCAGCUGUGUGGGGCUCAGUUGCUGGCUGGGGUUAAACCACAACCCUGAACAUGACCCCGGGGAUGCUGGACAAAGCAGAAUGGAGAAAAACAAGUUGAAGACGUUGGUGCAGCCUGUGUGAUCAGAAACGCCACCAGCUCAGCCAUGCAACAUCAUUCCUCAUCAGAUGUGGAGGUGUUUUCGUGCAUGCCAGCUCCAAACACUGCUGUUAGAGCACCCUGCCUGCAAAAUCUCAUGAGCUUCACAAGAAUUCAUUCAUUACAAAUGUGCUCAGCUCAGCUGUGGUAUUAGCUUCACUUUCUCAGAGUCAGGUGAGAUCAGUGUGUGCUCACUCCUUUUCCCCAGUGAGGGGUCCUUUCCCACUCAGUGCAAAUGCUGUGUAGGAGCAAUAAUGGCAAUUACGCGUGCCUGUUACUGGGAAAAGCAGUCUCCAGAAGUACUGUGUGAUCAGGGGAUGACACCAUCAUUUCUCUUUCCUGCAUAAGCUGUUUCUGACUGUAUCUCACAUUUAGGAGAUAGCAACUAGCUGAGUUGUUGGAUAAUAUCUAAACCUCAUGUUGUUGUCAUUUGCUUGAUUCCCAAAGGGAAAAUGUGACUUUAAUUGAUGCCUGACUGGGGACAAAGCCACUCACUGGGAACGGAGUGUUUCGGUGUGGUGCAGUGUCAGAGUUGCCGCUGUCAUUGCUGUAUUGAGACAGAUGAUAGUGUCAGGGUUGUGCAACUUGGUACAUAAUUUGCUCCUCAUAACAUUUCACAGGAGGAGGAGAGGGGCAUGGAUCUAUGUGUGGAUUAAUAUACUCUUACAUGAGAUCAUGUAUUUAAGUUGGGCUACUGUUACAGGCUUUCUGGGACCUAACACUGCUGGAGCCAGAGGAGAGACUCCUCUUGACUCCAAAGGGCUUUGGCUCAGACUUGUACUUCAGAUCAUAGGCAAACUUCUGAUCCCAAUCUUAAGCUCCCCAUUCACUUCAAGAGGACAAGAGCUGCACUUUGUCUGGGUUUUGUUUGGUACGCAGGGAUGUGUGCCUGACACUGGAAAUAGCCUCAUGCAGCUGUAGCAGAGAACAGGGUAAAAAGGAGUGUGAGGCCACUUGGGAGGGAAGCAGCUCUUGGUUUGGGUGGUUCCCUGGAUAGUCUGGAAUUGGACACUGAGCCCCAAACACAGCCCAGGACAGGUCAGUCCCCAGUGCUGUGCACACGUGAUCUCCUUAAAUUAAGGCAAAAUCAUUAACAUUUGGUGCUGUGCUGCUGCUGGUCAGUACUGAGAAGCUGUGGCUGCCCCAUCCCUGGCAGUGUUCAAGGCCAGGUUGGACACAGGGGCUUGGAGCAAGCUGCUCCAGUGGAAGGGGUCCCUGCCCAUGGCAGGGGAUUGGAACUGGGUGAGCUUUAAGGUCCCUUCCAGUAGAAACCAUUCUGUAAUUCUAUUGCCAAGGGAGCACAGAAGUUAUGGGGAGGCAGCUUGUGGUGCAGGAGGGGAGGAGAAGGCAAGUGGUAUCAGCACUCCCUCUGCUACAGUUUGCUGCCUCCUCCCUGCAGUGAAUGUGAGAGCUUGCUAUCGACUGCCCUCCAUUUUAAUUAAGUCCAGGAGCAGGCACAGUACACUGAAUAAUUCAAGAGGGACAUGUGUUUAAACACUGGCAAAGCUUCAGAUUCCACCCAAAAAUCAGUCUGUGAGAGAGCAAAUGGAUCCUGGUGAGGUGGUGGUGGGUGGACAACAGUUACGGAUCACAUCCCAACACCUUUGUGUUGCUCCAGCCAAGAAGAUGCCAUCUGUGGCUCCCGUUCUUGCUGCUGGGACAAACUGGGGCUGAUGGUGGUAGAAAGUUCAUGGCAGUGAGUCAAGGGCUGCAGGCACAAGGGCAACACCAGCACAGGCAGUUUUGGUUGGUGGCAGAAAAGAGCUCAUAGCAGAGAGUUCUGGAGAAGGGGCUGGUAGAGGAGUAGGUGAGGCCAGUAGCAGGGCUCAACAUCAGCAGUUAUAAUGGUUACUCUGAAGUUACAGGAGUAGUGGUUUUCCAUAACUGGGAGUUUCACCUCCUGCGUUUGUUUUCUCAUAAAGAGAACAUGCCUUUAACAAAAACACACAAGCAAAACCAUGAGCACACAGCUGCCCUUCAGGGUCAGUGUUUUGGAGCUCCAGAGCAGAAGUGAUCCUUCCAGAGGGAAGUGGAUGAGGAGGAGUCAGUACCUUUCCUGUGGAAGCUCAUUGAUAAAGGCUGCACCGGUUCAGAUGGGCGCGGAUCAGUCGGGACAACGUGAGAGGCUCCAUGUCCGUGUUCCUGAUGCGUGGCUGGGUUACCUGCUGAUCUGGUGUAUUCCAUGUGCAAGCAACUUCCUUAAACGUGUUGCCUUCAUGUUCCCAGGGUGAUAAAGAGUCACAUGUUUGUUUCAGAACGAUUCCCACCCAGGGCAGAACAACAACAUCCCAAGGCAACGUGAUGCUGCCCCUCCAGCAUCCAAAGCCUUGCUGCAUCCUGCUUUGAAAUGCACUGCUCUAGGGGACCCUGGAAAUGAACAUUUGCUAACGAAGGCUAAUUAAUGUCAGGUGUAAAAGUGGCAUCCUGCUGCAGUUGCAUUUGCCUUCUUAUUAAAGGAAAACUCAAUCACAAUCCACAGUGGGUGUUUUAGCUGAAAAUUUAUUAGAGGAACACAGUGUCUGUUUAGUUCCUUCUUAGUCUAAGGAUUUUUCACUUGUUCACCCCUUUAACUCAGCUAAGUUAAUGUGCCACAGCCUUCUAAAACAAUCACAUGGAAUAUAGAGUUUCAUUUAAAGGAAAUGAGGAAAACCAGUUACAUAAAAUGGGAGAAAAAUCCUGCUUUUCACCUCCACAGGUUUCAUGGAAUGAAGUGGCAACAUCAGCUGUUUUCACCAGAUACAUUGCAACCUGAGUGCUUUCAGUCCAUUUGAACCCCAUAGCUAACAAUAUCCAAAUGCACUGUAGCCAUUACCCUCUCACUGUAGGCUUCGCCAUUCCAAUGCAACCCUUGCUCUGACAGAUCACUGACAUCUUUCAUUUUUCUCUUCCCAUUCCCUCUCACAACAGCCCCAUGGUCCUGCUGAAUCCAUGAUGCAGAUGGUUAAGCAGCACAGCAGGGUGAAGGCAAAGUCAGGGGCACUAAGCUGCUGAUGGUGAUACUACUCAUCCUUAACGGGCUUGGGAAGAAGGCCACAUUUCUUCGGGUCUGGAGUUUGCUUGCCCUCCUGGUUGUAUUUCUAUACCCUCUGUGCCAUUAUGAGCAAUGUGAUCUUAAUCCUCUAUCUCCAUACAAUGGAGGGAGGAGGAAUGUAGCAAACCCCACAUAAAAAAAUGCUGUUUUUUAACACACACCAAGGAAAUGGAGUUCCCAAAGAGCACAUGAGAAAACCAGGAGUGACAGAAUGUGCUUUGGAAGCUGGCCAAGCAGGACUGCACAUCCUGCCUGCUCGUCACUUGUUAAAGAUCCCAGACAUGCUGCAUGCUCUACGUUACGUGUGUUCUCCUGAGACAGGGGCAUCUGGAUGCAGGACACUGACCUGAGAAUUGCCCCCAGCCAUGUAAACAAGCUCUGGGGUCUGUGGAACGUGAGGGAUGUGGAUCAAUGGUGUGCAUCAUUCCAGAGGGGUGAACGCUUUGGUGACAAAUGUGGCGUUUCCAACCCUAAAACUUGAACUAGAAUUAAAGCCAACGUUAAUUAUUGCUCUG